Small nucleolar RNA from Zingiber officinale, 142 nucleotides. RefSeq annotates it as small nucleolar RNA snoR134. NCBI's taxonomy places the organism in Eukaryota, Viridiplantae, Streptophyta, Magnoliopsida, Zingiberales, Zingiberaceae. The record is from RefSeq and is a predicted model, not a curated record. The transcript has a single exon.
CUGCACGGUGCACCCCGGGUAUCUCUGAGAGAUCCAUUGAAGAUGGAAACGCCAAUGCUCGUGCUAGAUUUAGCUGCCAUUCAGUGUUGCAGUUCUGUUGUUUUACUUAAUGCUGAGCUGUGUCAAUUAAAUAAAAAGCCUU